RNAcentral lists this ribosomal RNA (505 nucleotides) under uncultured bacterium. RNAcentral's name for it is "bacterial SSU rRNA". It matches the Rfam family "Bacterial small subunit ribosomal RNA", at positions 29 to 507 of the family's 1533-position model. The record is from RNAcentral.
AACGAACGCUGGCGGCGUGCCUAACACAUGCAAGUCGUGCGAGAAAGCUUCCUUCGGGAAGUGAGUAGAGCGGCGCACGGGUGAGUAACACGUGGGUAAUCUGCCCUUGAGUCUGGGAUAACCCGGGGAAACCCGGGCUAAUACCGGAUACGGCCCCGGGAUCUCUGGAUCCUGGGGAGAAAGGUGGCCUCUGCUUGCAAGCUAUCUCCCGAGGAUGAGCCCGCGGCCCAUUAGCUUGUUGGUGAGGUAACGGCUCACCAAGGCUGAGAUGGGUAGCUGAUCUGAGAGGAUGAUCAGCCACACUGGAACUGAGACACGGUCCAGACUCCUACGGGAGGCAGCAGUGGGGAAUUUUGGGCAAUGGGCGAAAGCCUGACCCAGCAACGCCGCGUGAGGGAUGAAGGCCCUCGGGUCGUAAACCUCUGUCAGGAGGGAAGAACAGCCUCAAGGCCAAUACCCUUGAGGUCUGACGGUACCUCCAAAGGAAGCGCCGGCUAACUCCGUG